CGUUGCCGGAGCUACCAUGCAGUCGAGCGGUAGCACAGAGAGCUUGCUCUCGGGUGACGAGCGGCGGACGGGUGAGUAAUGUCUGGGAAACUGCCUGAUGGAGGGGGAUAACUACUGGAAACGGUAGCUAAUACCGCAUAACGUCGCAAGACCAAAGUGGGGGACCUUCGGGCCUCAUGCCAUCAGAUGUGCCCAGAUGGGAUUAGCUAGUAGGUGGGGUAACGGCUCACCUAGGCGACGAUCCCUAGCUGGUCUGAGAGGAUGACCAGCCACACUGGAACUGAGACACGGUCCAGACUCCUACGGGAGGCAGCAGUGGGGAAUAUUGCACAAUGGGCGCAAGCCUGAUGCAGCCAUGCCGCGUGUAUGAAGAAGGCCUUCGGGUUGUAAAGUACUUUCAGCGGGGAGGAAGGCGAUAAGGUUAAUAACCUUGUCGAUUGACGUUACCCGCAGAAGAAGCACCGGCUAACUCCGUGCCAGCAGCCGCGGUAAUACGGAGGGUGCAAGCGUUAAUCGGAAUUACUGGGCGUAAAGCGCACGCAGGCGGUCUGUCAAGUCGGAUGUGAAAUCCCCGGGCUCAACCUGGGAACUGCAUUCGAAACUGGCAGGCUAGAGUCUUGUAGAGGGGGGUAGAAUUCCAGGUGUAGCGGUGAAAUGCGUAGAGAUCUGGAGGAAUACCGGUGGCGAAGGCGGCCCCCUGGACAAAGACUGACGCUCAGGUGCGAAAGCGUGGGGAGCAAACAGGAUUAGAUACCCUGGUAGUCCACGCCGUAAACGAUGUCGAUUUGGAGGUUGUGCCCUUGAGGCGUGGCUUCCGGAGCUAACGCGUUAAAUCGACCGCCUGGGGAGUACGGCCGCAAGGUUAAAACUCAAAUGAAUUGACGGGGGCCCGCACAAGCGGUGGAGCAUGUGGUUUAAUUCGAUGCAACGCGAAGAACCUUACCUGGUCUUGACAUCCACAGAACUUGCCAGAGAUGCCUUGGUGCCUUCGGGAACUGUGAGACAGGUGCUGCAUGGCUGUCGUCAGCUCGUGUUGUGAAAUGUUGGGUUAAGUCCCGCAACGAGCGCAACCCUUAUCCUUUUGUUGCCAGCGGGUUCGGCCCGGAAA
RNAcentral lists this ribosomal RNA (1108 nucleotides) under Klebsiella pneumoniae. RNAcentral's name for it is "bacterial SSU rRNA". It matches the Rfam family "Bacterial small subunit ribosomal RNA", at positions 38 to 1138 of the family's 1533-position model. Lineage: Bacteria; Pseudomonadati; Pseudomonadota; Gammaproteobacteria; Enterobacterales; Enterobacteriaceae. The record is from RNAcentral.